Non-coding RNA from Xenopus laevis (African clawed frog), 45 nucleotides. The record is from Rfam. Lineage: Eukaryota; Metazoa; Chordata; Amphibia; Anura; Pipidae.
UUAGAGGUUUUUUUUAAAACCACAAAUAAACUCACUUUCUCUAAA